Molecule: ribosomal RNA, 487 nt
Filed under: uncultured bacterium
Lineage: Bacteria
Description: bacterial SSU rRNA
Rfam family: Bacterial small subunit ribosomal RNA
Source: RNAcentral
AGAGUUUGAUCCUGGCUCAGAACGAACGCUGGCGGCAUGCCUAACACAUGCAAGUCGAACGGGAUCCAGGCUUCGGCCUGGUGAGAGUGGCGGACGGGUGAGUAACACGUGGGAACCUGCCUUUGGUUCGGGAUAACCGCGGGAAACUGCGGCUAAUACCGGAUGCUCCCGAGAGGGGAAAGAUUUAUCGCCAGAAGAGGGGCCCGCGUCCGAUUAGGUAGUUGGUGAGGUAAUGGCUCACCAAGCCGACGAUCGGUAGCUGGUCUGAGAGGAUGAUCAGCCACACUGGGACUGAGACACGGUCCAGACUCCUACGGGAGGCAGCAGUGGGGAAUAUUGGACAAUGGGCGCAAGCCUGAUCCAGCCAUGCCGCGUGUGUGAAGAAGGCCUUCGGGUUGUAAAGCACUUUUGUUCGGGAAGAAAAGCUACCGGUUAAUACCCGGGAGUCAUGACGGUACCGAAAGAAUAAGCACCGGCUAACUUCGUG